Canis lupus familiaris (dog) is the source of this 381-nucleotide long non-coding RNA. RefSeq lists it as uncharacterized. The transcript has 3 exons. The record is from RefSeq and is a predicted model, not a curated record. Lineage: Eukaryota; Metazoa; Chordata; Mammalia; Carnivora; Canidae.
AUGGCAACCAGCAUCCAAUCUGCAACCUCAGGGCCCACCAGGGUCACCUUAUUAGCAUAAAUUCAGGGAUGCAAGGCCCAGGCACCAUGCAAGGACCAGCGAGACAGACAAACACAGUCUAUCGGAGAAAGCGGAGUGUCAAGGGACCACACAGGACAACAUAAUAAAAGAAAGCUGGAGGCUGGGAGCCCUUUGUAAGAAAAACCCUUCGGUGAUUCGGGACCCUCGGUUACAGCACAACUGAGAAAUUGAUCAAUAAACCCCCGGUCAGGGCAGAAAAAAGAGAGAUUUCGGUCAUCCACAUCCACCAUCGGCACUAGCCGUAUAAUUUGACGCACUGGAAAAUUUAAUGAAGUGAAGCCAACAAGCAGGAUCAUGUCG